Molecule: ribosomal RNA, 456 nt
Filed under: uncultured bacterium
Lineage: Bacteria
Description: bacterial SSU rRNA
Rfam family: Bacterial small subunit ribosomal RNA
Source: RNAcentral
CGCUGGCGGCGUGCUUAACACAUGCAAGUCGAACGGUAAGGCCCUUCGGGGUACACGAGUGGCGAACGGGUGAGUAACACGUGGGUGAUCUGCCCUGCACUUCGGGAUAAGCCUGGGAAACUGGGUCUAAUACCGGAUAGGACUCCUGGCUUCAUGGUUGGGGGUGUAAAGCUUUUGCGGUGUGGGAUGGGCCCGCGGCCUAUCAGCUUGUUGGUGGGGUAAUGGCUUACCAAGGCGACGACGGGUAGCCGGCCUGAGAGGGUGACCGGCCACACUGGGACUGAGAUACGGCCCAGACUCCUACGGGAGGCAGCAGUGGGGAAUAUUGCACAAUGGGCGCAAGCCUGAUGCAGCGACGCCGCGUGAGGGAUGACGGCCUUCGGGUUGUAAACCUCUUUCAAUAGGGACGAAGCGCAAGUGACGGUACCUAUAGAAGAAGGACCGGCCAACUACGUG